UACGGGGGGAGCAAGCGUUGUUCGGAAUUAUUGGGCGUAAAGGGCGCGUAGGCGGUGUGGUAAGUCUGUUGUGAAACCUCCAGGCUCAACUUGGAGCUUGCAUCAGAAACUGCCGUGCUAGAGUGUGGGAGAGGAGAGUGGAAUUCCUGGUGUAGCGGUGAAAUGCGUAGAUAUCAGGAGGAACACCGGUGGCGAAAGCGGCUCUCUGGACCACAACUGACGCUGAGGCGCGAAAGCUAGGGGAG
Molecule: ribosomal RNA, 245 nt
Filed under: uncultured bacterium
Lineage: Bacteria
Description: partial 16S ribosomal RNA
Rfam family: Bacterial small subunit ribosomal RNA
Source: RNAcentral